This is a long non-coding RNA of Cololabis saira (Pacific saury), 463 nucleotides long. RefSeq lists it as uncharacterized. The record is from RefSeq and is a predicted model, not a curated record. NCBI's taxonomy places the organism in Eukaryota, Metazoa, Chordata, Actinopteri, Beloniformes, Belonidae. The transcript has 3 exons.
AAGCACUUCUCGAGCCGGUCAUCGAUCUGAGGACAGUUUAUGUGCUCCAUCUGUCUCGAUAUCUUCACCGAACCAGUCAGCACACCAUGCGGACACAACUUCUGCCAAAAAUGUAUCGGGGAGCACUGGGAAGAUGACGUCAGGUGUCAGUGCCCCAUCUGCAAUAAGACCAUCCCUCUUCCCUGUUAUGAACGAUGACCAAAGAGAAAGUCCGUAUUGCCCAGCGACAGCCCCGAAACCUGAAGGAUCUGGAGAAGAUCUGUAUGGAGGAGUGGGCCAAAAUCCGUGCUGCAGUGUGUGCAAACCUGGUCAAGAACUACAGGAAACGUCUGAUCUCUGUAAUUGCAAACAAAGAUUCCAUCACUCACAGUUGAAGAGUACCUACGAUAAAAAUUACAGACUUCUACAUGCUUUUCAAGUGGGAAAACCUGCAAAAUCGGCAGUGUAUCAAAUACUUGUUCAC